CCAUGAUGAUGAGGGCAAACAGUGGUGUACUCUUGGAGUCUCUCCCAUGCUUUGAUAGUGGUCUCGUUAGUGCGCUAAGUGAAGCCGAUGAUCUUGUUGCGCAGCUG
This is a small nucleolar RNA of Phragmites australis (common reed), 107 nucleotides long. Lineage: Eukaryota; Viridiplantae; Streptophyta; Magnoliopsida; Poales; Poaceae. The record is from RefSeq and is a predicted model, not a curated record.